GACGAACGCUGGCGGCGUGCUUAACACAUGCAAGUCGAACGGAAGGCCCUGCUUUUGUGGGGUGCUCGAGUGGCGAACGGGUGAGUAACACGUGAGUAACCUGCCCUUGACUUUGGGAUAACUUCAGGAAACUGGGGCUAAUACCGGAUAGGAGCUCCUGCUGCAUGGUGGGGGUUGGAAAGUUUCGGCGGUUGGGGAUGGACUCGCGGCUUAUCAGCUUGUUGGUGGGGUAGUGGCUUACCAAGGCUUUGACGGGUAGCCGGCCUGAGAGGGUGACCGGCCACAUUGGGACUGGGAUACGGCCCAGACGCCUACGGGAGGCAGCAGUGGGGAAUAUUGCACAAUGGGCGGAAGCCUGAUGGAGGAACGCCGCGUGCGGGAUGACGGCCUUCGGGUUGGAAACCGCUUUCGCCUGUGACGAAGCGUGAGUGACGGUAAUGGGUAAAGAAGCACCGGCUAACUACGU
Molecule: ribosomal RNA, 466 nt
Filed under: uncultured bacterium
Lineage: Bacteria
Description: partial 16S ribosomal RNA
Rfam family: Bacterial small subunit ribosomal RNA
Source: RNAcentral